This 72-nucleotide transfer RNA is filed under the name Phrynosoma platyrhinos (Desert horned lizard). Its description in RNAcentral is "tRNA-OTHER". The record is from RNAcentral. Lineage: Eukaryota; Metazoa; Chordata; Lepidosauria; Squamata; Phrynosomatidae.
GUCAGCAUGGCAUAGUGGUUUGAGUAUUGGACUAUGGCUCUGGAGACCAGGGUUUGAUUCUCAGUUUGGCCA